UUAUCCAUAUGGCUCAAAACAAAUUGAUUUCUUUGCACAAGAUCAGCUUAUUGAUCUGGCUCAACGAGUUCUAUACCAAUUAAAAAUGCUUGUCUAUUUUACAGGCCUUUUUUUUUUUUUUUUUUUUGUGUUUUACCUAUAUCAAGAAAGCUUGAGAGUUUGAAAAUUCCACAUAAACCUAUAUCUGAUUCAUGGACCAAACCAUUCUCAGUUAUCUCCCGGAAAUGAACACCAACAAUACUUAUCGUUUUUAAAUUGCCUCCAAAUCCAAUAAUUAUAGUAGUAGUACUGCCUUAUUAGCUAGCACCGGAAAGCCAAUUACCCACAAAAAAAAAAAAGGAAAAAAAAAGAAGGUUUUUAACUUUUUAUACGAAAAAAGGAGGAAGAUUCAUAGAUACAAAUAUAUAAGUAUAUAAUUGCAUUGUUGAAAAUAUAUAUAGUUAGCACACGUGAAAAGGGAAGAUUCAUAAGAGCUUGUAAAACUUGUAAUGUAGUGUGUAUAGGUGUUGGAAACGAAUUGCAUUUAAAAAAAAAAAAAAAAAAAAAAAAGGGGAAAAAGCAAAGGGAGAGAAAGAGAAGAGAUAAGGGGACAGAAAGAGAGGAAAUAUUAGAGGAAAGUGGAGCCACUGUGCAGGGAGCCAAUAAAGAGAGCUUCUUCUCCUUCCUGGAAGGUGCAUGGAAUCGAAGUAUCUUUUCUGCACAACGUGUACAUAAAACAAGACUCACUUUUCCAAAUUAUUACAGUUAGACCUGUAAAUCUAUGAGUACAUCAGCCAUAGACAUAGCCUAUAUAAGCUUUAGUGACCUAGUCAUAUAAAAUUGUACAAGGUAGAUCGUUCACAUGUCCACUUUAACUUGUGGGGUUGCAAAUGCAUCUUUUUAUUUAGUUAUUAAUUAAAAGUGAUAUGGGAAAGCGACUUAACUGCUGUUUGUUGUUUUCAACUUUAAUUUAUAUAUUAUUAAUAUGUAAAAAGAGGAAGAAUAAUAUAAUCGAAAACAAACACGUGUUAAGACAAUAAUUGGUCCAAUUCUAGUAACUUCUUAAUAUUAUAGACUGUUAUUUUUAUUUUUUUAAUUUUAUUAUCAUCACUUUGCGACAUUGAUAGCGAAGAAGUGUAUGAUGGGCCACGUUAUUUGAUUUUAUAAUCUCUUUUUCUUUUUCGUCUUAUCACAAAAACAAAACAAAAAAAGAAAAAAAGAAAA
Ziziphus jujuba (common jujube) is the source of this 1203-nucleotide long non-coding RNA. RefSeq lists it as uncharacterized. Lineage: Eukaryota; Viridiplantae; Streptophyta; Magnoliopsida; Rosales; Rhamnaceae. The transcript is spliced from 2 exons. The record is from RefSeq and is a predicted model, not a curated record.